Molecule: ribosomal RNA, 489 nt
Filed under: uncultured bacterium
Lineage: Bacteria
Description: partial 16S ribosomal RNA
Rfam family: Bacterial small subunit ribosomal RNA
Source: RNAcentral
GACGAACGCUGGCGGCGUGCUUAGCACAUGCAAGUCGAACGGUGAAGGGACCAGCUUGCUGGUUCUGGAUGAGUGGCGAACGGGUGAGUAACACGUGAGUAACCUGCCCCCUUCUUCUGGAUAACCGCAUGAAAGUGUGGCUAAUACGGGAUAUUCUGGGUCUGUCGCAUGGCGGGCCCGGGAAAGAUAUUGCUUCGGUGGGGGAUGGGCUCGCGGCCUAUCAGCUUGUUGGUGGGGUGAUGGCCUACCAAGGCGGUGACGGGUAGCCGGCCUGAGAGGGUGGACGGUCACACUGGGACUGAGACACGGCCCAGACUCCUACGGGAGGCAGCAGUGGGGAAUAUUGCACAAUGGGCGCAAGCCUGAUGCAGCGACGCCGCGUGAGGGAUGGAGGCCUUCGGGUUGUAAACCUCUUUCGCCAGUGAAGCAGGCCUGCUCCUUGUGGGUGGGUUGACGGUAGCUGGAUAAGAAGCGCCGGCUAACUACGUG